CUUCAUUGUGACUUUAACAAACAUUAUCUUCCCACAUACCAGGAAGUAUUGUAAAUUUAUUUCACAUAGGAAAAAUUAUUUGGAAUAAUAAAGCAGGAACUUUUCCUGAGGUUGCAAUUUAUACUGUAUGGCUUCUUUUUCAUGUUUCGUCUAGGUUUUUAGAAGUGAAGUAUAGUAAAUUUGGUUCGUUAAAUUGUGAAGGCGCUGGAAUUACAUGAACAUACCACCUUAAUAAAGCCCUGCCAUAGGACAGGCUGAGGCUGAGUCUCAGUGUUGCCCUGUUCAGUCUGAGCAGCAGAAUUUCAGCAUUUGCUACUUACUGGUAGAGAAGAAAAAUCCCACAGCCCUGCCAGUACAGGUUAGUUUAAUCUGUAAGUACCUGAUGUUCCUUUUUUUUCAAACAUAUCCAUAUAACCCACACAAAGAAGAAAGCUGUGCAGUUACUUACUGUGAGUAUAACUAAUAAGAGAAUCCAUUGGACACUUUUCACACACUCAAUACUUGGGCCAAAGUAGUUCUAGGUUUGCUAUCUUCAGUUGUAAUAAAGGUUUAGUAAAUUAUGCCUUUAUUAUAUGG
Molecule: long non-coding RNA, 576 nt
Filed under: Urocitellus parryii (Arctic ground squirrel)
Lineage: Eukaryota; Metazoa; Chordata; Mammalia; Rodentia; Sciuridae
Description: lncRNA (ENSUPAG00010023055.1)
Source: RNAcentral